GUUUGCCUUCGCGAAGUUUUCGCCUUGGCCGUCGCAGUGCGGGGGUCGGUGCGUGGGGGUUUGCGCUUGAGGGAAAAAGGCUGCGGUUGAGAUAAUCGUUUUCCCCUGCACAGCGGUGAGGAGCUCAUGCAGGUUCUGCAAGGACCUCACCACGGAGGGAUUCCUCCCUGCCAAGGCCUCAGCCACCUCAGCAGCUUGCCCAUCCUCCUGCCUGCACCUGGCAGCCCUGCGCCUGCUGCAGCUGUGUGACUGUGGGAUACUGAGAAGCUCCUGCUCAAGGGAGAUACAUCGCUGUAUGGGAACUGCUGUGUCACGGCCUGAACCUCUGAUCACCUGAGGUGAGCUGUGAGUCAGCCAGAGGAGCACAGGUGAAGACAAUUCCUAGACCUGUUUAAGAGCUGGCUACCAGUGGGGAAGGAUCUCUGCUGGAGUUUUGUGAGUGAGCCCAGGAUAGGGGUAAGCCUUCUGUUUAUUGUCCUGUGUUAUCACAGUCUGCUUUGCCUCACUCUCUUGUUUAUUUUGUGAUUAUAACAUUUUAAUAUUCUUUGAUUAUACACAUCACCGUCUCUCUCAAGUGAAAUGGAUUUGAAGCCAUCCGUGGAACAGAUCCCAGCUUUCAUCUGUUCAGAACUAGGCACGAUAAAAGGAUUUGUGGCCGAGCCAUAUUUGUAUGCCUUCCUGAUAUUGAUUAAAUCGUCAUUUGAGGAUUAGGGAUCUCUUAAAUGGG
Molecule: long non-coding RNA, 727 nt
Organism: Lagopus muta (rock ptarmigan)
Lineage: Eukaryota; Metazoa; Chordata; Aves; Galliformes; Phasianidae
Exons: 3
Source: RefSeq, a predicted model, not a curated record